Long non-coding RNA from Papaver somniferum (opium poppy), 999 nucleotides. RefSeq lists it as uncharacterized. The transcript is spliced from 3 exons. Lineage: Eukaryota; Viridiplantae; Streptophyta; Magnoliopsida; Ranunculales; Papaveraceae. The record is from RefSeq and is a predicted model, not a curated record.
AUUAAUUUUUCUCUCUCUUCUUUCGGAUUCUCCAAAGAAACGAAAAAUAUGAAACCCUAGGUUUUGGUUUCAAUCAUCUCUAGUGGUGGGUUUGAUUCAGUCGGAGAAUUUGAUUUGAAUCUUCAUCUCGAUUUCUUUCGGCUGAUUCUCAUCUCAAUUUCAAUUUUUAUUUCGAUUUCAAUCUUCAUCUCGAUUGAAAUCAUAACUUUCCCAAGUUCUUCUUCUGAUUUACAUCCGUAGAACAAUCAUUCAAUUCGCCGAGCAGGAUAUUGUUGGCUCUGGUCUUCAGUUUUUCUUCUCCCCUGACAUGAUAUGAUACAGGUGGUAGAAGUGCAUUUUGUGUUGUCUCAAAUCUCGACGCUGAAUCUCUUAAACUUCAGAAAAGGAAUCAGGCCCAGAUGUCUGAUAUACCUCCUAGUAAAGACUGGAUGGACGUACCUCGAUUCUCAGAUGAAUAUAUUGAUGGUAUGAUAUCUUUUAUUCAAUUCGUAAAAGAUAACUUAGGUGAGAAUGAAUGUUUCUGUCCAUGCAACAAGUAUCGUAACUACAAGAAGCUCAGCAUAAAAAAGGUUUCGGAGGACUUAUUUUUGUAUGGGGUUGACAAGUCCUAUAGAUUUUGGGUUAAUCAUGGAGAACGUCUUCCUAGGAUGAGUUCCGAUGUACAGGUUCCUAGUUCAUCAACUGCUAAUCAUUCUGAAUCUGCAUUCCCGAGAAUGAUGGACUUGUCCAACGACACACUUGAACACAUCCAUCCUAAUGAUCUUGACGACAUGCUAUUAAUUUGUUGUGCGUGCGACAACCCAUCAAAUUUUGGCGCCGCUGUUGGAGAGCAGUCGCUAAUUGAUUUGUUAUUUGUUUAGCUUGUUUUUGUUUUUAGAUUUUUGUUUAUAUUCUCUUUUGUUCUUGUGAAUCGUCAUGUUUCCUUACGGAAAUAACAUGUAUGGUGCACAAUAUCAAUCAUACAACAAUGGUAAUCAAUAUGGUUUUCAAUUUCAUUCA